AUCAUGAAGGCCCAAUUAUGGCCCAAUUUUCAAAAUUGGGCCGAAGCCCUCAUAUGGGCCUUACCCUAAAGCCCAUUCAUAUAUUCCUACUCCAUAUGAUUGUUCUUGGAUGGCUCAUUAUUGGCCCAAACACCAAAGCCCAAUAGAAAGGCCCAACACAAAGCCCAAGUGAAAUUAGGGUUUUCACAUAAAAUAACGAUUGGGGUUAAGUGUUUCUCACUUAACCCAUUGAGGACUUAAUCCAUUAAGUCCAUCAAUCUAUUGUGUCAUUCAUGUAGUGUGGUCGUGCUUAAUACAAAACCCUAAUCCAGUCAUCCAAAAUGCAAGUCCCGACAGACCAAAACCCAUAUGUCUAAUAUUAGGGUUUAUUAAACCCUAAUUAAGGUUUCCAACGAAAUCAUAGCCCAAUAGGCCCAAUAGCUAGGUCUUUUGAUCAAUUAGGGUUCAUUAGGCCCAUUAGGGUUUCACUAGGCCUAUUAGGGUUUCGCUAGUCGGACACCACCCAUUACCACCUCGGGAAGUGGUGGUCAACGGCGGCUCACGACGUCGGCGGCCACCUCACGGUGGUGGUUAGAGUUUCUAGUCCAUUUUUGUCCAAGAAUCCAAAAAGCAAAUACAGGCAAGCAAAAGCACACUGCAACCCAACAUGGCGGUUGGUGGCGGCCAGAGGCGGUAGCCACCACCUCACGGUGGUGGUUUUGAGUUUUUUUUUUAUUAUUCAAUUAGAUAUUACAACAUACAAAGAAAAAUCCCAAUAACAUACACACACUAAGUUGGACACACACAACUACACUUGUGGUGGCCAGCGGUGGUAGAUGGUGGCAACCACCACCUCACGGUGGUGGUUUUGAGUUUUUUUUUAUUAUUCAAUUAGAUAUUACAACAUACAAAGAAAAAUCCCAAUAACAUACACACACUAAGCUAGACACACACAACUACACUUGUGGUGGCCGGCGGUGGUAGAUGGUGGCAACCACCACCUCACGGUGGUGGUGGUGGCCUUUUUUAUCGAUUUUUACGGCCAAACAAACCACACACAACACACACUAAAACAGGAAACCCACCUACACAUUUGUUUUUCUCAGAACAAGAACACAUCCACCCUUCUGGUGGCGUUUGACGACGGCAGAACCACAGAGAGGCGACAUCGGUGGUGAUUUUACGAUGACAGCCACCACCCCAUGGUGGUGGCGAAGGCUCCUCUUGAUCUUCUACCCGUCAACAAGUCGACACACAUAGAUGGGACACACACGAACCGUCGACG
Molecule: long non-coding RNA, 1264 nt
Filed under: Lactuca sativa (garden lettuce)
Lineage: Eukaryota; Viridiplantae; Streptophyta; Magnoliopsida; Asterales; Asteraceae
Description: long non-coding RNA (LSAT_LNC008385)
Source: RNAcentral